AUUGAACGCUGGCGGCAGGCCUAACACAUGCAAGUCGAGCGGAUGAAGGGAGCUUGCUCCUGGAUUCAGCGGCGGACGGGUGAGUAAUUCCUAGGAAUCUGCCUUGUAGUGGGGGAUAACGUCCGGAAACGGGCGCUAAUACCGCAUACGUCCUGAGGUCGAAAGUGGGGGAUCUUCGAACCUCACGCUAUCAGAUGAGCCUAGGUCGGAUUAGCUAGUUGGUGGGGUAAAGGCCUACCAAGGCGACGAUCCGUAACUGGUCUGAGAGGAUGAUCAGUCACACUGGAACUGAGACACGGUCCAGACUCCUACGGGAGGCAGCAGUGGGGAAUAUUGGACAAUGGGCGAAAGCCUGAUCCAGCCAUGCCGCGUGUGUGAAGAAGGUCUUCGGAUUGUAAAGCACUUUAAGUUGGGAGGAAGGGCAGUAAGUUAAUACCUUGCUGUUUUGACGGUACCAAAAGAAUAAGCACCGGCUAACUUCGUG
RNAcentral lists this ribosomal RNA (484 nucleotides) under uncultured bacterium. Its description in RNAcentral is "partial 16S ribosomal RNA". It matches the Rfam family "Bacterial small subunit ribosomal RNA", at positions 30 to 507 of the family's 1533-position model. The record is from RNAcentral.